AACGAACGCUGGCGGCAUGCCUAACACAUGCAAGUCGAACGAGAUCUUCGAGUCUAGUGGCGCACGGGUGCGUAACGCGUGGGAAUCUGCCCUUUGGUUCGGAAUAACAGUUGGAAACGACUGCUGAUACCGGAUGAUGGCGAAAGUCCAAAGAUUUAUCGCCAGAGGAUGAGCCCGCGUAGGAUUAGCUAGUUGGUGUGGUAAAGGCGCACCAAGGCGACGAUCCUUAGCUGGUCUGAGAGGAUGAUCAGCCACACUGGGACUGAGACACGGCCCAGACUCCUACGGGAGGCAGCAGUGGGGAAUAUUGGACAAUGGGCGAAAGCCUGAUCCAGCAAUGCCGCGUGAGUGAUGAAGGCCUUAGGGUUGUAAAGCUCUUUUACCCGGGAUGAUAAUGACAGUACCGGGAGAAUAAGCUCCGGCUAACUCCGUGCCAGCCGCCGCCGUAA
This 449-nucleotide ribosomal RNA is filed under the name uncultured bacterium. RNAcentral's name for it is "partial 16S ribosomal RNA". It matches the Rfam family "Bacterial small subunit ribosomal RNA", at positions 29 to 523 of the family's 1533-position model. The record is from RNAcentral.